Molecule: ribosomal RNA, 492 nt
Filed under: uncultured bacterium
Lineage: Bacteria
Description: partial 16S ribosomal RNA
Rfam family: Bacterial small subunit ribosomal RNA
Source: RNAcentral
AGUGAACGCUGGCGGUAGGCCUAACACAUGCAAGUCGAACGGCAGCACAGUAAGAGCUUGCUCUUACGGGUGGCGAGUGGCGGACGGGUGAGGAAUACAUCGGAAUCUACUUUUUCGUGGGGGAUAACGUAGGGAAACUUACGCUAAUACCGCAUACGACCUACGGGUGAAAGCAGGGGAUCUUCGGACCUUGCGCGAUUGAAUGAGCCGAUGUCGGAUUAGCUAGUUGGCGGGGUAAAGGCCCACCAAGGCGACGAUCCGUAGCUGGUCUGAGAGGAUGAUCAGCCACACUGGAACUGAGCCACGGUCCAGACUCCUACGGGAGGCAGCAGUGGGGAAUAUUGGGCAAUGGGCGCAAGCCUGAUCCAGCCAUACCGCGUGGGUGAAGAAGGCCUUCGGGUUGUAAAGCCCUUUUGUUGGGAAAGAAAAGCAGCAGGUUAAUACCCCGCUGUUCUGACGGUACCCAAAGAAUAAGCACCGGCUAACUUCGUG